Molecule: non-coding RNA, 483 nt
Organism: Pelobates cultripes (western spadefoot toad)
Lineage: Eukaryota; Metazoa; Chordata; Amphibia; Anura; Pelobatidae
Source: the annotation of a GenBank genome assembly
CAACAACAUCCCCUCCUACUGGACGGAUCGUUACGGCUACUCGCAUGGAGGAUUUCAGGGGUCCUUGGGAAGUCCAAGGAGUUUCGGACACAACUCGACGCCUCCUGGCUGACGCAUGGGCUCCCGGCACUAGACGCUCAUACGGGACCGCUUGGAGAGCUUGGACUGGUUGGUGCCUGGCUAGGGACCUGGAUCCCGUGGCGGCUCCUGUGACGGCGAUACUCCAGUUCCUCACAUCAUUAUUUGAAGCGGGCCGAGCAUAUCGCACGAUUAACCUAUACAGAUCGGCCAUCUCCUCAGCUCAUCAGGGUUUCAACGGCUGCCCAGCGGGCCAACAUCCCUUGGUGUGCCGUUUACCUCACGCGUCCCCCCAGACCUCGAUACACAGCCACAUGGGACGUAUCCUGCGUCCUAUCACUGUUUUCCUCCUGGCCGACCAACUCGGACCUCACCCUGCAACAACUCUCUGCCAAGUUGGUAUCA